Sarcophilus harrisii (Tasmanian devil) is the source of this 133-nucleotide small nucleolar RNA. Its record names the gene SNORA70. It matches the Rfam family "Small nucleolar RNA SNORA70". From Rfam's summary of the family: snoRNA U70 seems to be exclusive to mammals and is a member of the H/ACA class of snoRNA which contain H (ANANNA) and ACA box motifs. H/ACA box snoRNAs are involved in the conversion of uridines to pseudouridines (5-ribosyluracil) a constituent of structural RNAs (transfer, ribosomal, small nuclear, and small nucleolar). The record is from Ensembl. NCBI's taxonomy places the organism in Eukaryota, Metazoa, Chordata, Mammalia, Dasyuromorphia, Dasyuridae.
CUGCAACCAAUUAAGCCGACUAACCCGAUUCUCAGUGUUGGGCUGGUGUGCAAUGGUUGCAAACAGCAUUUCCUUGGUUGUGUUUGUACCUUGUUCUCAAUACAAGGUAUUCUAAGGGACCUUGGAGACAUUU